Molecule: ribosomal RNA, 253 nt
Filed under: uncultured bacterium
Lineage: Bacteria
Description: partial 16S ribosomal RNA
Rfam family: Bacterial small subunit ribosomal RNA
Source: RNAcentral
UACGUAGGUGGCAAGCGUUGUCCGGAAUUAUUGGGCGUAAAGCGCGCGCAGGCGGCCUUUUAAGUCUGAUGUGAAAGCCCCCGGCUCAACCGAGGAAGGUCAUUGGAAACUGAGAGGCUUGAGUACAGAAGAGGAAAGCGGAAUUCCACGUGUAGCGGUGAAAUGCGUAGAGAUGUGGAGGAACGCCAGUGGCGAAGGCGGCUUUCUGGUCUGUAACUGACGCUGAGGCGCGAAAGCGUGGGGAGCAAACAGG